Long non-coding RNA from Oncorhynchus keta (chum salmon), 745 nucleotides. RefSeq lists it as uncharacterized. The record is from RefSeq and is a predicted model, not a curated record. Lineage: Eukaryota; Metazoa; Chordata; Actinopteri; Salmoniformes; Salmonidae. The transcript has 5 exons.
UCAGAGAACUGGGUCGGUACAGAGAUGGGUUGGAAGGUCUGGGGAGACUGGGCCGUCUCAGAGAACUGGGUCGGUACAGAGAUGGGUUGGAAGGUCUGGGGAGACUGGGCCGUCUCAGAGAACUGGGUCGGUACAGAGAUGGGUUGGAAGGUCUGGGGAGACUGGGCCGUCUCAGAGAACUGGGUCAGUACAGAGAUGGGUUGGAAGGUCUGGGCCGUCUCAGAGAACUGGGUCAGUACAGAGAUGGGUUGGAAGGUCUGGGCCGUCUCAGAGAACAGGGUCAGUACAGAGAUGGGUUGGAAGGUCUGGGGAGACUGGGCCGUCUCAGAGAACAGGGUCAGUACAGAGAUGGGUUGGAAGGUCUGGGCCGUCUCAGAGAACAGGGUCAGUACAGAGAUGGGUUGGAAGGUCUGGGCCGUCUCAGAGAACAGGGUCAGUACAGAGAUGGGUUGGAAGGUCUGGGGAGACUGGGCCGUCUCAGAGAACAGGGUCAGUACAGAGAUGGGUUGGAAGGUCUGGGGAGACUGGGCCGUCUCAGAGAACAGGGUCAGUACAGAGAUGGGUUGGAAGGUCUGGGGAGACUGGGCCGUCUCAGAGAACAGGGUCAGUACAGAGAUGGGUUGGAAGGUCUGGGGAGACUGGGCCGUCUCAGAGAACAGGGUCAGUACAGAGAUGGGUUGGAAGGUCUGGGGAGACUGGGCCGUCUCAGAGAACAGGGUCAGUACAGAGAUGGGUUGGAAGGUCU